Molecule: non-coding RNA, 57 nt
Filed under: unclassified sequences
Description: L20-Deltaproteobacteria ribosomal protein leader
Rfam family: L20-Deltaproteobacteria ribosomal protein leader
Source: RNAcentral
GCCCCAGAACCGUGAGGAAACGGCCCCUUGCGGAUCGGGUACCUAAAACUAAAGGAG